AGCACUAUAUUUAAACCUGUUGGUGGAAUUUCCUGACUGCCAUGGGUUACGCUGUAGUGCAAAAGAAUCUCCUCGCUCUAUAGAGCAUAGCUGACUUUGCUCUGUUCAGCUGAUGCUCCUCUGAAGCUAAGGAACAGAG
Molecule: non-coding RNA, 139 nt
Organism: Opisthocomus hoazin
Lineage: Eukaryota; Metazoa; Chordata; Aves; Opisthocomiformes; Opisthocomidae
Source: Rfam